AUUGAACGCUGGCGGCAUGUCUUACACAUGCAAGUCGAACGGCAGCACGGGUGCUUGCACCUGGUGGCGAGUGGCGAACGGGUGAGUAAUACAUCGGAACAUGUCCUGUAGUGGGGGAUAGCCCGGCGAAAGCCGGAUUAAUACCGCAUACGAUCUACGGAUGACAGCGGGGGACCGUCGGGCCUCGCGCUAUAGGGUUGGCCGAUGGCUGAUUAGCUAGUUGGUGGGGUAAAGGCCUACCAAGGCGACGAUCAGUAGCUGGUCUGAGAGGACGACCAGCCACACUGGGACUGGGACACGGCCCAGACUCCUACGGGAGGCAGCAGUGGGGAAUUUUGGACAAUGGGCGAAAGCCUGAUCCAGCAAUGCCGCGUGUGUGAAGAAGGCCUUCGGGUUGUAAAGCACUUUUGUCCGGAAAGAAAUCCUUGGCCCUAAUACGGUCGGGGGAUGACGGUACCGGAAGAAUAAGCACCGGCUAACUACGUG
This 486-nucleotide ribosomal RNA is filed under the name uncultured bacterium. RNAcentral's name for it is "partial 16S ribosomal RNA". It matches the Rfam family "Bacterial small subunit ribosomal RNA", at positions 30 to 507 of the family's 1533-position model. The record is from RNAcentral.